GACGAACGCUGGCGGCGUGCUUAACACAUGCAAGUCGAACGGAAAGGCUCCAGCUUGCUGGAGUACUCGAGUGGCGAACGGGUGAGUAACACGUGGGUAAUCUGCCCUGCACUCUGGGAUAAGCCUGGGAAACUGGGUCUAAUACUGGAUAUGACCUUUCUCCUUAUGGGGUUCGGUGGAAAGUUUUUCGGUGUAGGAUGAGCCCGCGGCCUAUCAGCUUGUUGGUGGGGUGAUGGCCUACCAAGGCGACGACGGGUAGCCGGCCUGGGAGGGUGAUCGGCCACAUUGGGACUGAGAUACGGCCCAGACUCCUACGGGAGGCAGCAGUGGGGAAUAUUGCACAAUGGGCGGAAGCCUGAUGCAGCGACGCCGCGUGAGGGAUGACGGCCUUCGGGUUGUAAACCUCUUUCAGCAGGGACGAAGCGUAAGUGGCGGUACCUGCAGAAGAAGCACCGGCUAACUAUGUG
RNAcentral lists this ribosomal RNA (467 nucleotides) under uncultured bacterium. Its description in RNAcentral is "partial 16S ribosomal RNA". It matches the Rfam family "Bacterial small subunit ribosomal RNA", at positions 28 to 507 of the family's 1533-position model. The record is from RNAcentral.